GGGCGGAUGUAGCCAAGUGGAUUAAGGCGGUGGAUUGUGAAUCCACCAUGC
RNAcentral lists this transfer RNA (51 nucleotides) under Convolvulus floridus. RNAcentral describes it as "partial tRNA-His". Lineage: Eukaryota; Viridiplantae; Streptophyta; Magnoliopsida; Solanales; Convolvulaceae. The record is from RNAcentral. RNAcentral also lists the same sequence under 1 other name.